This 301-nucleotide ribosomal RNA is filed under the name uncultured bacterium. RNAcentral describes it as "partial 16S ribosomal RNA". It matches the Rfam family "Bacterial small subunit ribosomal RNA", at positions 509 to 807 of the family's 1533-position model. The record is from RNAcentral.
CAGCAGCCGCGGGAAUACGAAGGGGGCUAGCGUUGCUCGGAAUUACUGGGCGUAAAGGGAGCGUAGGCGGACAUUUAAGUCAGGGGUGAAAUCCCGGGGCUCAACCUCGGAAUUGCCUUUGAUACUGGGUGUCUUGAGUAUGAGAGAGGUAUGUGGAACUCCGAGUGUAGAGGUGAAAUUCGUAGAUAUUCGGAAGAACACCAGUGGCGAAGGCGACAUACUGGCUCAUUACUGACGCUGAGGCUCGAAAGCGUGGGGAGCAAACAGGAUUAGAUACCCCUGUAGUCCCUGUCUCUUAUAC